This 2832-nucleotide long non-coding RNA is filed under the name Salmo salar (Atlantic salmon). RNAcentral's name for it is "lncRNA (ENSSSAG00000108307.1)". The record is from RNAcentral. Lineage: Eukaryota; Metazoa; Chordata; Actinopteri; Salmoniformes; Salmonidae.
UGUAAAUAAUGACAUGUUCUGUUAUUAAUAAUAAUUUAAAAAUGUAAAUGAUCUUUCUUAGGGUUUUUUUUUUUUUCAUGAGAGCUUUAUCUGGGCCUGUCUUUAUGCCCGGGUGAUCCUGGCCUGUCUUUAUGUCCGGGUGAUCCUGGCCUGUCUUUAUGUCCGGGUGAUCCUGGCCUGUCUUUAUGUCCGGGUGGUCCUGGCCUGUCUUUAUGUCCGGGUGAUCCUGGCCUGUCUUUAUGCCCGGGUGAUCCUGGCCUGUCUUUAUGCCCGGGUGAUCCUGGCCUGUCUUUAUGCCCGGGUGAUCCUGGCCUGUCUUUAUGCCCGGGUGAUCCUGGCCUGUCUUUAUGCCCGGGUGUUCCUGGCCUGUCUUUAUGCCCGGGUGAUCCUGGCCUGUCUUUAUGCCCGGGUGAUCCUGGCCUGUCUUUAUGCCCGGGUGAUCCCGGGUGGGGUCGAUCGGUCAUCGAGGUGAUCGACCAACCCCAAAGUGCUGCAUGUUUAAUGACGACAGACACCCGUCUCGAUGGCUUGAACCCUGGUCACAAGACAGCAUUUAUCUUCCUGAGCUAAAGGCUGAGCCAAGGCAUUUAUCUCUAGGAGCUAAAACAAAGUCUUCAUGUUCACAAAAUCAACCUCCAUUACAUCAACCUCCCCAAAAAUACAACUUCUGGUCACAUGACUCCAGUCCUCUCUCUCUGACUCUCUCUCUCUCUCUCUGACUCUCUCUCUCUCUCUGACUGACUGUCUCUCUCGCUCGCUCUCUCUCUCUCUCUCUGACUCUCUCUCUGACUGACUCUCCCUCUGACUCUCUCUCUCCCUCUGACCCUCUCUCUGACCCUCUCUCUCUCUGACUCUCUCUCUCUCUGACUCUCUCUCUCUCUGACUCUCUCCUGACCCAAUCUGAGAGGACGGGUAGAGGAGGCUAGUUAAUAACACCAGGGGUUGUACCGCCCUGGGGGAGAAGUCGGCCCUAACCACAGCUCUAGGAUCAGCCCCCCCCUCCUCUUAAAGCAAAGGAGGGGAAACAUAUAACUGGUUCAAGGUCAGCGUCUGUCAGCCCCGCGUGUGUAAAUAUAACUGGAUGUUUUUCAACUCUGCUUUUAUCUUCCUGAGUCUCGAUCAUUCGCCUCGAGAACAGCCAUGGUCAAAACGGAGGGGGGCUGAAUAUUAAAUUAGAACAGCCAUGGUCAGAACAGAGGGAGGGGCUGAAUAUUAAAUUAGAACAGCCAUGGUCAAAACGGAGGGAGGAGGGGCUGAAUAUUAAAUUAGAACAGCCAUGGUCAGAACGGAGGGGGGCUGAAUAUUAAAUUAGAACAGCCAUGGUCAGAACGGAGGGAGGGGCUGAAUAUUAAAUUAGAAGAGCCAUGGUCAGAACGGAGGGAGGGGCUGAAUAUUAAAUUAGAACAGCCAUGGUCAGAACGGAGGGAGGGGCUGAAUAUUAAAUUAGAAGAGCCAUGGUCAGAACAGAGGGAGGGGGAUAGUAAAUUAUAGAACAGCCAUGGUCAGAACAGAGGGAGGGGCUGAAUAUUAAAUUAGAACAGCCAUGGUCAGAACAGAGGGAGGGGCUGAAUAUUAAAUUAGAAGAGCCAUGGUCAGAACGGAGGGAGGAGGGGCUGAAUAUUAAAUUAGAACAGCCAUGGUCAGAACGGAGGGGGGCUGAAUAUUAAAUUAGAACAGCCAUGGUCAGAACAGAGGGAGGGGGAUAUUAAAUUAGAACAGCCAUGGUCAGAACGGAGGGAGGGGCUGAAUAUUAAAUUAGAAGAGCCAUGGUCAGAACGGAGGGAGGAGGUGAAUAUUAAAUUAGAACAGCCAUGGUCAGAACGGAGGGAGGGACUGAAUAUUAAAUUAGAACAGCCAGGGUCAGAACGGAGGGAGGGACUGAAUAUUAAAUUAGAACAGCCAUGGUCAGAACGGAGGGAGGGACUGAAUAUUAAAUUAGAACAGCCAUGGUCAGAACGGAGGGAGGAGGUGAAUAUUAAAUUAGAACAGCCAUGGUCAGAACGGAGGGAGGGGCUGAAUAUUAAAUUAGAACAGCCAUGGUCAGAACGGAGGGAGGGACUGAAUAUUAAAUUAGAAGAGCCAUGGUCAGAACGGAGGGAGGUGAAUAUUAAAUUAGAACAGCCAUGGUCAGAACGGAGGGAGGGGCUGAAUAUUAAAUUAGAACAGCCAUGGUCAGAACGGAGGGAGGGACUGAAUAUUAAAUUAGAAGAGCCAUGGUCAGAACGGAGGGAGGUGAAUAUUAAAUUAGAACAGCCAUGGUCAGAACGGAGGGAGGGGCUGAAUAUUAAAUUAGAACAGCCAUGGUCAGAACGGAGGGAGGGACCAUACUACUCUUCCUGUUCUGUUGUUUUUACUUUCGCCUGUGAGCAUCGACAGACCAGAGUGGUUUCUGGGCCCCGCUGCAAGAGAGUGUGUGUGUGUUGUAUAUACUCUGCUGUGUGGGUGUGUGUGUGUGUGUGUUGUAUAUCUACUCGUGUGUUGACAGUAUGAAACGUGGUGGUCUGUGGGAAUGUGGCGGUCUGUGGGAAUGUGGCGGUCUGUGGGAAUGUGGCGUGUUUGCAGUGAUGCAUCUAUGGACAUCCUCUCAGAAUAAAUAAAUGUUCUAUACAAACUGUUCCCCUCGACUCUUUUACUACUGUCUGUCUGUCUGUCUGCCUGUCUGCCUGUCUGUGUACAGUUGAAGUCUGUAAACAUCCACUUAGGUUGGAGUCAUUAAAACUUGUUUUUCAGCCAUUCCACAAAUUUCUUGUUAACAAACUAUAGUUUUGGCAAGUCGGUUAGGACAUCUACUUUGUGCAUGACACAAGUCAUUUUUCCAACAAUUGUUUACAG